This 949-nucleotide long non-coding RNA is filed under the name Triticum aestivum (bread wheat). Its description in RNAcentral is "long non-coding RNA (TAES_LNC012002)". The record is from RNAcentral. Lineage: Eukaryota; Viridiplantae; Streptophyta; Magnoliopsida; Poales; Poaceae.
CUGAAUGUGUUCUCUGCGUGUGUUUUUUCAUAGGGAAACCAUGCUAACGUGUCAUUGCAUAACGAGGUCGUGGACAUGUUUGUGGACGAUCUACAUGAGAGAAAUUUAUAUGUAUGUGCCAGGAUCAGUGUGAAGCCCCCUGAGGUAAUACCGAGGGCGGUUUAGCUUUAUUUGCGGUUAUAUAUGCCUAUGAGCUGCAGAAACCAUCAUGUCCUGUAAAUUGUUUCUAUGCCAUGCUAAUUACUUAUCAUCCAAUUCUUGAGGGUACUCAACUUUUAUUUCAGACCUAGAUUCAAUCAGUCAUCCAUUGGCAUUUCAGUUGUGUGAAACAGUUUUCAUGCACCUAUAUGUUUUUCAACAUCUCAACAUAUAGAAGAGGCCUGAUGGGAAUUAUCCAUGUGCCUCCACACGCUUUGUAUUGCAUAAUUUCGUUAGCUUCUAUAGAUGGUCUCGUGCAUAAAACACUACCACACCAACACCUGAGUAAUUGUAUUGGUUUUUGCUCAAGUAUCAUAAUGCAAUUUUGUCUUUGAUUGUAAACCCUGGUUUGGUAUUUUUAGUUGCACGUUUCAGUGAAAGAAAGAAAAAACAGUGUCAAAGUAGAAUAUAUAAACUAGAAAGAUUAGCAGCCAUGUCUCAGUAUAAUUUUCAUGCAUAGUAGUCUGGCAUUUCAUGUACAUAAAUAGAGGACCGCACUACAUAACCCGUUUUAUCUGCAGUGAUAAACAAACGCUAUCACUGAGAGCAUUUUUCUUGUGGAAGUUCUCAUUUGAGCUGACAUGUUUCCUGAUGCAAACUCAUUCAGCCACGUAUAGCCUUCACAGUACAUCAUUUGGUUGAUCUUUAGUUCUUGGGUUCUGCAGAUGCAAAAUGGAGCCGGCGACCAGCCCUUCUUCCUCGCCCUCAGCCUUGACACCACCGUUGACGCCUCCAAGAGCAGUCGGGCAUC